AGAGGGUGCAAGCGUUAAUCGGAAUUACUGGGCGUAAAGCGCACGUAGGUGGAUAAGUAGGUUGGAUGUGAAAGCCCUGGGCUUAACCUGGGAAUGCCAUUCAAAACCACUUGUCUAGAGUAUAGUAGAGGAAAGUGGAAUUUCCGGUGUAGCGGUGAAAUGCGUAGAUAUCGGAAGGAACACCAGUGGCGAAGGCGACUUUCUGGACUAAUACUGACACUGAGGUGCGAAAGCGUGGGGAGCGAACAGGAUUAGAUACCCUGGUAGUCCACGCCGUAAACGAUGAGAACUAGCCCGUUGGGAAUCAUGAAUUCUUUGUGGCGCAGCUAACGCGAUAAGUUCUCCGCCUGGGGAGUACGGCCGCAAGGUUA
RNAcentral lists this ribosomal RNA (371 nucleotides) under uncultured organism. RNAcentral's name for it is "partial 16S ribosomal RNA". It matches the Rfam family "Bacterial small subunit ribosomal RNA", at positions 527 to 896 of the family's 1533-position model. The record is from RNAcentral.